UGAGAGGCUAAAAUGUCUGCCUGUUUGUAAAGACAGGAGGAAAGUCCGAACACCAUAGAGCAGGAUACUUCCUAACGGGAAGCUUUAGUGAUGAAGAGCUAGCUCCACAGAAAAGAACCGCCUUAUGUUUCGAUGUAAGGUAAGGGUGAAAAGGUAGUGUAAGAGACUACCGGCUGAAAUGGUGACAUAUCAGGCCGGGAAAGCCUUAUCCGGUGCAAUGCCAAAUAGGGAAACUUUUACGCUUGCGUAACUCAAGUUGCUCGCUUGAGAUAGUUUUCGGGUAGGCAGCUAAAACCGUUCUGUAUAGGGUUCAAUUGAACAUAGCAAUAUACGGUUUAGAGGAAUAGACAUUGUUUUGCUUAUUAUGCAAAAAACAGAAUUCGGCUUAAUAGCCUCUCAAUCU
RNAcentral lists this RNase P RNA (403 nucleotides) under Candidatus Cloacimonadota bacterium. RNAcentral describes it as "RNase P RNA component class A". It matches the Rfam family "Bacterial RNase P class A". Rfam says of the family: Ribonuclease P (RNase P) is a ubiquitous endoribonuclease, found in archaea, bacteria and eukarya as well as chloroplasts and mitochondria. The record is from RNAcentral. Lineage: Bacteria; Pseudomonadati; Candidatus Cloacimonadota.